This 441-nucleotide small RNA is filed under the name Pongo abelii (Sumatran orangutan). Its description in RNAcentral is "processed transcript". Lineage: Eukaryota; Metazoa; Chordata; Mammalia; Primates; Hominidae. The record is from RNAcentral.
AGAGUUAUUCCACCUGAGGAGCAAGGGAGCUGGGGCAUUUAUACACCAACUCCCAUCAGUCAUUUUUUGCAGUUGCUUCCAAAUGUUAAUAUUCUAGCAUGUCUUGCCUGCCAACCACACAAGCACAAAAACCAUUCAAGGUGCUGGACAAACCCCUCAGACAACCAGAUGAACAUUCAGAAUUUAACUCUGUGGGUGGGGCACAUACAGCAUCUGUUACAGAUCUACCAAACUGACCAAAAAGAAAAGGACUGACAACAUUAAGUGUUGGUGUGGAUUUGGAGCAGCAGGAAUGCUCAAACUGUACUGGGGAAGUUGUGACUACAGCAACCUUGGAAAAAAACUGGCAUCUUUUAGGAUAAUCAUAAGAUGCUCAUACAAAAACAAAAACUAGUGCUUUCACUCCUAGGAGGCAUCCCUGAGUCCUGAUGCCUGACUGGA